CUCAGCACAGGCUGUGACCCUGGGGCAUACACGGACGCUACAUGCACACAAGGUGUUUGCAAGACGAUCUCUGUUAUAUGGGAGAUGCUGUUCCUUUAUUGAUGGAUGGCCUUAUGUUUGCCUCUGUGAGCUGUCUUUUGCCCCAGCUUUAGGUCCCCUAGUGGAUUUUUAAGGGAUUCGGUUACCUGCAUCUCUAUCCCCGACACGUCUUCUUUUGCCUAGGGACUGUAAUGUGUAUUUGCUCAUGUCAUUAUUGACAUAUUUGGCCUGGACCUGCGGUAUGUUUCCAAUCAACAUGGUUUACUUGUU
Long non-coding RNA from Rana temporaria (common frog), 309 nucleotides. RefSeq lists it as uncharacterized. NCBI's taxonomy places the organism in Eukaryota, Metazoa, Chordata, Amphibia, Anura, Ranidae. The transcript has 3 exons. The record is from RefSeq and is a predicted model, not a curated record.